Molecule: long non-coding RNA, 6015 nt
Organism: Bacillus rossius redtenbacheri
Lineage: Eukaryota; Metazoa; Arthropoda; Insecta; Phasmatodea; Bacillidae
Exons: 2
Source: RefSeq, a predicted model, not a curated record
CCAUUUUAUCUCUAAUAAAUAAAUAAGGUUUAAAAUCGAAAUGCGGAAACCAGACUAACCUUUCGCCCUCAGCGCAUUCUUAAUUUUUUUUGCAAACAGACACCACUCGAAUAUCUUGGCAGUUUUUAUACCUUUUUUGUUUUUUACUGAACCUCUGCACGCCGUGUGCGCGCCAGGUAACUAACAAAUGGAAGUUAAAAGGCGAGACAGCGGGCGUAAUCUUUGCCAUUCUAGUGAAGUCAAAAGCUCCCUUUUUGUUUCUUCAAUAUCUAUGGAUUAUUCGUUGCUUGGCUAAGCUAGGUAUUUUCCAAUUAAAUUGGGGGAGAAAAAAUAUAUAUUUUAAUUUCCAUUAACACCGCGACUAUUAUUGGUUACGUGAAGUAAGCUCGUUUUAAACAGGUGUUGAUUACAGGUAAUGCAUUAUUAACUAUUAUUUAAAAUCUGUUCGACAAUCAUGAGUUUUAAUUUGGGAGGGAUGUGUGGUUUUAAUCAUUUCAACAGGAUUGCUUACUUAGCCGUGGCAACGAAAUUUCAGCCCGAAUAGUUAACUUUUUCUGUAGCGAUCCCCCUCAAGCCGAUUACAUUGACGUUCUUGAAUAUUGUUCUAAUAGAGGUACAGGGUUUGCAACUACAACAGUUCACGUGCAUUUAAUUGUUUUAACUUCACCUGUGUCAAGUGCACGAAAUUAAAAUAGAGUUAAAAUUGAUGCAGUGGGGACGAAAAUUUACAAUGAUGAGUAUCUCUUACUAUAAUGUAAACGAAAAAAAGAAUAUAUAUCGCAAACGUUUAUAUUGUCGCGGGUUGAAAUUUUGCAGGGUUGUUGAAAUCAAAUUUAGGGACUUUACUGACGGGACUCUGGGCUGGCUGCUCUGUUCACUCGUCAGCGCAAGUGGCGUGACCAUGUAAUUGGGGCACGGGGCCGGCGCGGCGCGCUGCGGGCUUGCAGAAUUUUGUUUGUUUGUUUGGCCGCGCGCUGGCGCAGCCACGGGCCGCAGUUACUGGGGCGCGCUGUCGUAACAAGCCGCGCGGUGUGGCCUGCACAUUGGGGUAGAGGGGGGGUAGUCUUCCCAGGUGUUCUAGUUAGUUGUUUAGUAAAUUUGACUUCAAUAACGAGCUUUUGUUAUGGUAGGCGCGGCAGGGCGCGCGAAUUUAAGCGCAAGUGAUUGGUGACUCGGGGCUCACUCAGGCGGAGGCUAUGCGUCUCACCUGUGGUCACGAGUUGUUAGUUCGUUCGUGAUGUAGGAAUUCAGGCUCACUCAGGCGGAGGCUAUGCGUCUCACCUGUGGUCACGAGUUGUUAGUUCGUUCGUGAUGUAGGAAUUCAGGCUCACUCAGGCGGAGGCUAUGCGUCUCACCUGUGGUCACGAGUUGUUAGUUCGUUCGUGAUGUAGGAAUUCAGGCUCACUCAGGCGGAGGCUAUGCGUCUCACCUGUGGUCACGAGUUGUUAGUUCGUUCGUGAUGUAGGAAUUCAAGCUUUCGGGCGGAAGCUAUGGCCGACGCCAGAGGCCACGAGUCGUUUAAUUUAAGUUAGGUCAUAAUGUAGUCGUCAAGCUUUCGGGCGGAGGCUAUGGCCCUCGUCAGGGGUCACGCGUCAUAGUUUUUAAAAUGUAAUGUUCGUUCGGGAUUUCAAGGGCAGGAGAGGCCCCUACGUUAUUUUUUUAAAGUAAUCGAUCAAGAAAGGCUUUUCGGAAAAUGUGAGUAUGGACUUAUCUUUGUUUUAAUUUUAAGUAUUAAUUAUGAUUUGAGGUAUUCGGAAGGACUAGGGAAGUGUUUAGUGAAGUUCUCUCAUUCUCUCUCUUGUAAGGUCGUUCAAUCGUUAAGGAAGUAAAGAGAUUAUUGUUUUAAAUUGUAAUCCCGCUAUUUAAAUGUUCUUUAAAAUGAUGUUGAGUAUUUGACUUUAAGAAUAAAAUAAUUUUAAUUAAGUAUUAUGUUAUUUUGCAAAAUCUCCUUAGUUCAGCUCUCACCAGACAUCCUGUACGGGAUGACGAACCUAUGAUCCUAGGUACAGUAAAGUAUUUUAUGAAGUUAAGACUAGUUGAUGCCAAGCGAGUUGUUUCUAUGUAAAGAGCUACGAUUCUCGCCCCCCCCCCUCUGAAGGUGGAUCGUGACAGAAAUGGCGGUGGCACCGGCUAGGUGCACGUGACAGAAAUGGUAGAGUUCGCCGGAUAGGUUCUAUUUCUGGAGAGAGAGAGGUAGAUUUUUAUGUUUAUUAUUAAGUUAGUUUCAGCUUCUGAUAGCAGGUUAUUAAGAGUUUACUUGAGGAGAGGAUUACGGAAUUUUAGUCUAUAGUGGAGGAAGUCUUUGAGAUUUUUUUUUUGACGUAACAGAUGUUUAUUUGAGGAUACUUGUAAGGAUAAAGUUUAUAGUGAUAAGUUGUUUUAAGUCGUUGAAUUUAUUGUAGAUUUAUAUCGGGGAUUAUUACGUGAGGAGAAUACGUUAUAAGUUAAAUGCUUAUUAGAGAUAAUGCAAGUGGUUUAAUUUAAUUGAAAUUAAUUUUAAGAUUGUAGGUUAAGAGAGUUAAAAUUUAAAAUAAAGUUUUUUUCGUAAAUAGGAAUUAUUUUCAAGUGAAGUUUGUUUUGUUUUCGUGCGCGUAGGAGACGAGACGUACGAAUUAAAUCAGUCGAGGGAAGGAUAAACGUUAGAAAGGAAUUAAAGAGAAAACGAGAGUUUAUGUAAAAGAGAGUUAUAGAAUUUAUAGUGAUGUUUUGUUUUAAUUAGAAAAAUGUUGAGAGUUGUUUCAGAAUGACACGUCAGUGGACGUGACGGGGAGGUGCUGAGACCUAGCGGAGAACGGAGGAACCGCAAGCGAGGGUUGGCGCACCUGAUGGAAUUCGGUGACGUCACGGGCUCAUACGGAGACGUGGACAGGCCGUGACCUUGUUUUGAUCAGCUGUACGGUAACUUAACGAUAAGAAAAUAGACUAUUGGUUAAAUAAAUUUAAAUUUAAGUGUGUUUUAGGAGAAGAGGAACUUUCAGUAUAUUCCUUAAGAUGAGCUGAGCAGCAGUCCAGUUUACAAGAUGACAAGAGUUCGAGAGACAAGAUACAAGAUCACUGAAACAAGAGCCAAGACUGAAGAUUCAAGAGAAGAGAAAGCUGGCAGCCAUGGACUUACAAGUGGAGAUUAAUAAGGUCAUGUAAAGUUUUAUUUUUUUUUAUGGAAGACAGUAACUGGAGUUUUUUUUUGUUAUAAACAUUAUUUACAGAACUUUUUAGGUUAUAGUAAUGUAAUGGAACUAGUGAGUUGUGGUAGCUGUCAAAAAGAACUAAUACCUUAAGUUUAAUUUUUAAAGUUAAUUUUCUUAAUUUACAGAGGGAUUAGUAGUUUUUUUUAAACCUUAUUUAGGUUGGAAUUUAAAUACAAUAGCUUAUUAUAAAUGUGUACGAACAGUUCAAGUUCACAGUACUGAUAGGUAGGUCAGAUGAUCUUAUUGAUUUUGAUGAUUUGUUGUUUUGAGUUGAUUUUUAAGUGUUGUGAAUUAGACAAUGAAAUAGUUCUGAAAACUUAAAUUAUUUCAAGCUAAGAAAUAGUAAAGUUAAUUGUAACUCAAAGGACACCAGAAUUUAAUUUUUUUUUGAAUUAGUAAUGUUUGAAAAUUUUAUACUUUACAAAAAAAGGUUAUAAACAAACAGAUCGGAUGGAACAAGGAUGCAGUAAAUCACAAUUUCAUUUAGAAUUAUUGAUUAGCUUUUGAGGUUAUGAAGUAAAAGUAAUUAUAGUUUAAAAGUUUGAAUAAAAAAAAAUGUUUUUUUUUUAUUUGUUUGAAAUAGAAAGUUUAAAAGUUAAUUAGUCAUGAUCUAGGUGGGUGAUGGGGUGGGAAUUGGCCACUCUUUUUCCCUAUAACCUCCCUAACAUGGCCUUCUAUUACAACUAACAGAAAUAAAGAAGAAGAAAAAUGAAGAAUUAUUAGUUAGAAUGUUUCUUUCAUGAAGAUACCUGAUGAACUUUUACUGUUUGGAAGAAUAGAAGCAAGGUUAGUCAGAUAUUUUUACUCAGAAGAAGAAGAAGAUAAAGCAGUUUUAUGACUCGACAAGCCAGAGAUUGGUGUUUCCCCUCUGCGCUUCUAUUGACUACGUUGUUUACUCUCAUGGGAUAGCUGGUUCGGCACCAUGGAGAGAGAUUGGUGGGCAUUGUGGUUGCCCCCAGAAGAAAAGAAGAGUAGAAGAGGUUAUGGGUGGGUCAUGUGAACUGACCUUCAACCCAGUUACUUCGUGGGGACUAUUUGCUGUAUAGAGAAGAUCAAGACUCAAGAGUUAGGGAAAAUCAUUGGAGGUCAUGUUUCCCUUCCUUAAGUUUUUCCUAUCAAAUUAUUUGCCUGAUUAGAUUAUGCUAAGGGUGGGAUACUUUAUGUUAGCAGUUGAAUUAAUUAAUUUUAUUUUUUUGUGUGUUUGCAUCCUUGCCCAUCGAUUGCAGUUUAGUAGUUAGUUUUGUAUUUGUCAGGCGUGAUGGUAAUGCCUGUUGAUGAUGUUUCAGAAUUGUAAUCUGUUCGUGAUGAGGAUGGCACAACUCCGAAGCAGAUGUGGGGAGAAGUUGUGAGCUGCCCUGGAAGCCAGUCCAGUAGCUGUUGGAGUUGAGUGGUGUUUGCUGAUGGCCAGCCCAGGGAGCUACUCUUCUCGACAACACUGACUUCGAGGAGUUGCACCAACCUUCACGAGAUAAGAGUUUAAUUAAUUGAAACACUGUAAGGACAAUUAAUUUUUUUUGAAGAACGAAAGAAGUAUGGUAAUAAACGGAAACCGAAAAAAAAAAAUAAUAAUAAUUAUCAAGAAUUUGCACAUUGUUUAACGAAUACUGAGAAACUAAGAACAGUAAUUUAAUUUGUAAAGAGAGCUUCACUAACAGAACAAUUUUUUUAGAAUUGAGAACUCGAGCCUCUGAAGGUUCCUGUGAGAACAAACCAGAUAAAAGUUUUACAUUUAAUUUUAUGAAUACUUGUUGUUUUAAAAUAAAUCUUAUGCAGAAUCUAGAUGUAUGUUCAGACAGCAAGGAACUAAGAAAAUUAUUAUUUUUGUGAAAUGAGGAAUUUAUAGUUAUGGUUUAAUGGAAAAAGACAAUUUGUAAUUUUGAGGUAGCUCGAUGGGGCUCGAGCUCUGUGAGGGGAGGGUUAUGUCGCGGGUUGAAAUUUUGCAGGGUUGUUGAAAUCAAAUUUAGGGACUUUACUGACGGGACUCUGGGCUGGCUGCUCUGUUCACUCGUCAGCGCAAGUGGCGUGACCAUGUAAUUGGGGCACGGGGCCGGCGCGGCGCGCUGCGGGCUUGCAGAAUUUUGUUUGUUUGUUUGGCCGCGCGCUGGCGCAGCCACGGGCCGCAGUUACUGGGGCGCGCUGUCGUAACAAGCCGCGCGGUGUGGCCUGCACAUUGGGGUAGAGGGGGGGUAGUCUUCCCAGGUGUUCUAGUUAGUUGUUUAGUAAAUUUGACUUCAAUAACGAGCUUUUGUUAUGGUAGGCGCGGCAGGGCGCGCGAAUUUAAGCGCAAGUGAGUGGUGACUCGGGGCUCACUCAGGCGGAGGCUAUGCGUCUCACCUGUGGUCACGAGUUGUUAGUUCGUUCGUGAUGUAGGAAUUCAAGCUUUCGGGCGGAAGCUAUGGUCGACGCCAGAGGCCACGAGUCGUUUAAUUUAAGUUAGGUCAUAAUGUAGUCGUCAAGCUUUCGGGCGGAGGCUAUGGCCCUCGUCAGGGGUCACGCGUCAUAGUUUUUAAAAUGUAAUGUUCGUUCGGGAUUUCAAGGGCAGGAGAGGCCCCUACGUUAUUUUUUUAAAGUAAUCGAUCAAGAAAGGCUUUUCGGAAAAUGUGAGUAUGGACUUAUCUUUGUUUUAAUUUUAAGUAUUAAUUAUGAUUUGAGGUAUUCGGAAGGACUAGGGAAGUGUUUAGUGAAGUUCUCUCAUUCUCUCUCUUGUAAGGUCGUUCAAUCGUUAAGGAAGUAAAGAGAUUAUUGUUUUAAAUUGUAAUCCCGCUAUUUAAAUGUUCUUUAAAAUGAUGUUGAGUAUUUGACUUUAAGAAUAAAAUAAUUUUAAUUA